GUUUAGGCUGAAAUAUAAAAUUUAAAUUCAGGAAACAAUAAUAAAGGAAAUUUGUAGACGACAUCAGUAAUUAAAUAUUUGCUGGUUAUGAGCAUUUAUUACAUAUGUGGAUUCUAGGUUAAGAAAAAUCAAGAAAAAACAACAAUUAAAGAUGGAAGAAAGAAUGAUACUCUUCUUUAGUGUGGUAUUAUUUACACAGAUGGCGUUCUCGGUACCAACGCCGCAGCAUCACGGACCCAUAGUCCCUGCCUCAGAAGCAGUUGCUUCCAAUCCCAAGCAAGUUCUUAAGUUGAAGACGUUUGUUAAGAGGUCGCUCUCCAAACUGAAUGUCGUCUACA
Mercenaria mercenaria is the source of this 338-nucleotide long non-coding RNA. RefSeq lists it as uncharacterized. The record is from RefSeq and is a predicted model, not a curated record. Lineage: Eukaryota; Metazoa; Mollusca; Bivalvia; Venerida; Veneridae. The transcript has 3 exons.